Molecule: ribosomal RNA, 465 nt
Filed under: uncultured bacterium
Lineage: Bacteria
Description: partial 16S ribosomal RNA
Rfam family: Bacterial small subunit ribosomal RNA
Source: RNAcentral
CCUACGGGAGGCAGCAGUAGGGAAUCUUCCACAAUGGGCGAAAGCCUGAUGGAGCAACGCCGCGUGGGUGAAGAAGGUCUUCGGAUCGUAAAACCCUGUUGUUAGAGAAGAAAGUGCGUGAGAGUAACUGUUCACGUUUAGACGGUAUCUAACCAGAAAGCCACGGCUAACUACGUGCCAGCAGCCGCGGUAAUACGUAGGUGGCAAGCGUUAUCCGGAUUUAUUGGGCGUAAAGGGAACGCAGGCGGUCUUUUAAGUCUGAUGUGAAAGCAGUCGGCUUAACCGGAGUAGUGCAUUGGAGACUGGGAGACUUGAGUGCAGAAGAGGAGAGUGGAACUCCAUGUGUAGCGGUGAAAUGCGUAGAUAUAUGGAAGAACACCGAUGGCGAAGGCGGCUCUCUGAUCUGUAACUGACGCUGAGGUUCGAAAGCGUGGGUAGCAAACAGGAUUAGAUACCCCAGUAGUC